CUCCGGCGCAGGGCGGCCACUGCCCCCCGCACACUGCGCUGCUCCGACCCACUGUGCGUGUGACAGCGGCUGUCCUGUCCUGGCAGCGCGACCGG
This 95-nucleotide microRNA precursor is filed under the name Erinaceus europaeus (western European hedgehog). Its description in RNAcentral is "mir-210 microRNA precursor family". It matches the Rfam family "mir-210 microRNA precursor family". The record is from Rfam by way of RNAcentral. Lineage: Eukaryota; Metazoa; Chordata; Mammalia; Eulipotyphla; Erinaceidae.